Long non-coding RNA from Cercocebus atys (sooty mangabey), 1542 nucleotides. RefSeq lists it as uncharacterized. The transcript is spliced from 3 exons. Lineage: Eukaryota; Metazoa; Chordata; Mammalia; Primates; Cercopithecidae. The record is from RefSeq and is a predicted model, not a curated record.
CGGCUGCGGUCCAGCCAUUGGCGGCUCUGCGGGGGCCGGGGGAACCUUCGCGGCUUGGCGAGCCAGAGCCGGGCUCAUAUCAUCUGUGAAUUGUCUGCUCUGUGCCUGUCUCUACCAUAUAUACGACUUCAGGCUCCAUGAGGGCAGAACCUGCCAUGUCUUAUCUCCACUACAUCUUCAUGCCUAGCACAGUGCCUGGAAGACUGCAGUUUAGCAACUCUGUGAAAUGGCUAUGGGAAAAUAAAUUAUCCUCAUGUUCCAACUAAGAAAGCAGACUUAGAGAAAUAAGGUAAGUACCUAAGUGCAUGUGUGCACAUGUGUGAGAAUGUAGGCCAGUGUGAGGUGUGUGAACAUGUGACUGUAUAAUGUGACUAUAUGCAGUGUGUGACUGUAUAAUGCACGUGUGUGUGAAUAUGCAUGUGUCAGACUAUAGAGCAUGUGUGUGAAUGAGUGUGUGACUAUGUAAAGCACACGUGUGAGUGUAUCAACACUGUAUGACUGUGAAAAGUGUGUUGUGGGUAUGUAUGAACAUGUAUGUGUGGUUGUGUAAGGAACAUGUGUAUGAAUGUGUGUGAACAUGUAUGUGUGAGACCAUGUGAAAUAAAGCAUGUGCAGAUGUGCCCCUGAGGCUUGGGAGGCCUGGUCUGGAAGAAACCAAUCAUAGAGGUGGAGGAGGCCCUGAGGAGACAAAAAGCCGUGGGAGCAGGAGCAAGGGGAGGAGAGGAGGCUGGGGUGCAGCUGGGCCUGGAGCUUGGAGAGAAGGCCUAAGGUGCUGGUCGCUGGAAGAGCACCACCAUGCCUGGGUCUGAAGUCCUCAGGGCCAGUACCCACCAGGGCCAGAGCCCAGGAGUGGCAUUGCUACUCCCGGAGGAGGCUUUUCCUGGCCCCACCCACAUCAGAGAGAAGGGGCUGGUCCGGUGAGCCCCAGCAGGAGCAGUCAUUAACCAUGGAAGCUGACUUGGUGCAGCUGGAGGUGGAGUUGGAAGUGUCUGCAUCUCACUGGCAAGCUGCUUCCCUCCUCGCUGCAUGCUCCAUUCCUGAGCAAACGCUAGAGCUACAGAGACACAGCCCCCAGCCUCUCCCACCUCAGAAAGCUGGGAGGGCCCAGGCCUAGGGAAGGGAUGGUGGAGUGGGCAGGCAUCCAGGGAAGGUAUGGGGAUUGGAGGGGACAUGGAGAAUAUUUUAAGAGUGGAUUUGGUGUGGUCUUGUGCAAACUGCUGUGCUGGGAAGGCAAGUGUCUACGCUGCUGGCAGUUUCCUCUUCAUCCUGCUGGAGCACCUGGCACCCUCCAUACCUCACGAUGGCCAGAUGUUCCACUGUCUCCAUGGAAUGCAGACGUUAAUGUGGCAGUUCAGCGUCUGUCCUGAGCAUUGAUGUCCUUGCCAGGCUGCUGAACCUCUGUGUGUGAGUGCACAUGAGUGUGUGUGUGUGUGUGUGUGUACUGUGUGAACAAGUGUAAGGGAUCCUGGAAAGGGGCCUAUCUUGCCCUUGGAGCUGAGGGUAGCACCACUUCUUUUUUUUUUUUUUUUUUUUUUCUUUGAG